AUAAAUCUAACCACACCGUUAACCAUAUCCCUAAACUUAAAUUAAAAAAAAAGAACAUUUUUGUUUUCAUGAAUUAUUACAAUAUAGAAAUGGGUAUUUUUGUGGCUGUGGUAGAUACCUUUGAAAAUAACGUGCGGGACUUCUUGGACGCAGUAUCCAGUUCUCCAUAGUGGCUUCACAGCGAGGCAGUCCCCAAACCCACAAUCACUUCUUUCUGUUACUCCAACAAAAUCUCCUGCACUCUGACCUGUGAGAGCGACACCACUGAUGCUGAACCAGUCACCUACAGCUGGAAAGUGGGGGAGGGGGCGUGAGAGGUCGUAGGAAAAUGGCUGAUUGUCUCUAAGAGCGACAAGGGCCAAUCAACCAACAGUUACAAGUUCAUCUGCAAGAUGAAGAACUCUACUGGAGAAGAGGAAGUCAGUGAUCCAGUUGGAGAGGUGUUUGGUUCAGGUGAGUGGACACUCAUAAGUGUGCUACAGUCUUAUGUUUUGGUAUGUUAGUAACACUGCUAGUGUUGUAGGACAUUUUUAAUGCUGUGUUGAAUUCAUGAUACAUUUCUUUCAACAUAUCAAUACAGAAUGCGUUUUCAUUUCAGAGCCUUCUGAAGUCGGUGAUAGUGGGAUUGUUGUUGGUGUUGUCGUUAUCAUUGUAGCGCUUGUUGCCAUUGUCAUAACAAGAUAUCCCCAAGACAGCUGGAUUGACCUUUUGAGCAAGGCUUUUUGUGGAUUGUGUGCAGCUGAAGUCAGCAGAUCCAACAGUCCUAAAGAUGAGUCAAAGCCUGAUGAAGCCAACCUGAUGAUGGAGUAG
RNAcentral lists this long non-coding RNA (810 nucleotides) under Oncorhynchus kisutch (coho salmon). Its description in RNAcentral is "lncRNA (ENSOKIG00005012613.1)". Lineage: Eukaryota; Metazoa; Chordata; Actinopteri; Salmoniformes; Salmonidae. The record is from RNAcentral.